Molecule: ribosomal RNA, 425 nt
Filed under: uncultured Oscillospiraceae bacterium
Lineage: Bacteria; Bacillati; Bacillota; Clostridia; Eubacteriales; Oscillospiraceae
Description: bacterial SSU rRNA
Rfam family: Bacterial small subunit ribosomal RNA
Source: RNAcentral
UGGGGAAUAUUGGGCAAUGGGCGAAAGCCUGACCCAGCAACGCCGCGUGAAGGAAGAAGGUCUUCGGAUUGUAAACUUCUUUUAUGAGGGACGAAGGACGUGACGGUACCUCAUGAAUAAGCCACGGCUAACUACGUGCCAGCAGCCGCGGUAAUACGUAGGGGGCGAGCGUUGUUCGGAAUCAUUGGGCGUAAAGGGUGCGCAGGUGGCCUUUCAAGUCUGGCGUUAAAGUUCGGGGCUCAACUCCGUGAUGCGCUGGAAACUGGAGGGCUAGAGUACAGCAGGGGGCAUCGGAAUUCCAGGUGUAGGGGUGAAAUCUGUAGAUAUCUGGAAGAACACCGGUGGCGAAGGCGGAUGCCUGGGCAUGUACUGACACUGAGGCACGAAGGUGCGGGGAGCAAAACAGGUUUAGAUACCCUGGUAGU